Molecule: ribosomal RNA, 484 nt
Filed under: uncultured bacterium
Lineage: Bacteria
Description: partial 16S ribosomal RNA
Rfam family: Bacterial small subunit ribosomal RNA
Source: RNAcentral
AUUGAACGCUGGCGGCAGGCCUAACACAUGCAAGUCGAGCGGAUGAAGGGAGCUUGCUCCUGGAUUCAGCGGCGGACGGGUGAGUAAUGCCUAGGAAUCUGCCUGGUAGUGGGGGAUAACGUCCGGAAACGGGCGCUAAUACCGCAUACGUCCUGAGGGAGAAAGUGGGGGAUCUUCGGACCUCACGCUAUCAGAUGAGCCUAGGUCGGAUUAGCUAGUUGGUGGGGUAAAGGCCUACCAAGGCGACGAUCGGAAACUGGUCUGAGCGGAUGAUCAGUCACACUGGAACUGAGACACGGUCCAGACUCCUACGGGAGGCAGCAGUGGGGAAUAUUGGACGAUGGGCGAAAGCCUGAUCCAGCCAUGCCGCGUGUGUGAAGAAGGUCUUCGGAUUGUAAAGCACUUUAAGUUGGGAGGAAGGGCAGUAAGUUAAUACCUUGCUGUUUUGACGUUACCAACAGAAUAAGCACCGGCUAACUUCGUG